AUUCACCCAACAACAUGCAUGAUGCAUGAUGCGUAUGGUGCUAAAUGCUGGGAAUGCAAACCUGAAGAAGUGUCUAUUUCAAAUCAAUAGGAGUACUUGAAGAUUCUCCCUGCUUACAAUGUAAACAUCAUGAAGAAAGAGAUGUGUUGGACUUGUUCAUUGCUAUAUUUCCUGGCUCAGAUCCUGGCACUGAGUAGACAUCAAGAAAUAUUUAAAUGAAUGAAAGAAUGAAUGAAUGAAUGAAUGAACUGUGUCCUCUUGUAGAGCUGAGGGUGUUUUACCACUACCCUAAGAGCUGACACCAGGAGGUCUUGCUGCAAAGCCAGGCACUGUAUUCCACACUGUAUUUCCAUCAUCGCUUUUAAUGAGACUUCUUUGCAAAUAUGUAUGGUAUCUUUUAAAAUACCUGAUAACCAGCCAGCAGAGGUGGUCAGCUGCUACACUGGUAGCCACAAACAGAAUCCAAGACACAGAACUUCAUACGGUGUCACAGCUUCAUUUUCCAGGCUACAGCUCCCACUGCCCACAUCAGAACCAUCUGCAGGUCCAUAAGCUGUGAGUUUCUUUGGGAGUUGGGGGAGUGUCUUUUGGAUGUUUAUAACUUAUGCAUCUUAAUAUUGAAUGUGCACUUAAUACAGGGAACUUCAUAGUACUUGAUUUUUUAUGCAAAAAUGACUUAAUUAAAAUUUCUUGAAGAAA
Molecule: long non-coding RNA, 699 nt
Filed under: Pan troglodytes (chimpanzee)
Lineage: Eukaryota; Metazoa; Chordata; Mammalia; Primates; Hominidae
Description: lincRNA
Source: RNAcentral